This 1011-nucleotide ribosomal RNA is filed under the name Triticum aestivum (bread wheat). RNAcentral's name for it is "partial small subunit ribosomal RNA". Lineage: Eukaryota; Viridiplantae; Streptophyta; Magnoliopsida; Poales; Poaceae. The record is from RNAcentral.
AUGGAGGGCACAGAUGAUGUCAAAUCAGAUGAGAUCCUCAUGCCCGGGUUCCGGUUCCAUCCUACAGAUGAAGAGCUGGUGAGUUUCUACCUCAAGAAGAAGAUCCAGCAGAAGCCCAUCUCCAUCGAACUCAUCAGGCAGCUGGACAUCUACAAGUUUGAUCCAUGGGACCUCCCAAAGCUUGCGAACACCGGCGGUGAGACAGAGUGGUACUUCUACUGCCCAAGGGACCGGAAAUAUCGAAACAGCGCGAGGCCAAACCGAGUUACAGCAGCUGGGUUCUGGAAGGCCACAGGAACAGAUAGGCCGAUUUACUCCUCCAAGGGCACAAGGUGUGUAGGCCUGAAGAAGUCACUUGUCUUCUACAAAGGCAGAGCAGCAAGAGGAAUCAAAACCGAGUGGAUGAUGCAUGAGUUCAGGCUUCCUUCGCUUGCUGAUCCAUCACUUCCCAAGAGACCAAUCGACAAGACCAUCCCACUCAACGACUCUUGGACCAUAUGUAGGAUCUUCAAGAAGACCAGCUCGAUGGCGGCGCAACGGGCGCUGACUCACACUUGGGAGCCUCCAUUGCCUGGGGCAACUAAGCAAGAUCUCUUCUCCGCCAUGCAAGCUUCUCAUUUUCCUUCAGAGAGCUGCUCCAACUCAUUGCAAGUUGCAGCUGCGGCACCAUCAAGUCAGUUCGACAGCAAAUAUGGCUUCCAAGGACAGCAGCAGUUUCAGAAACCCAACAGCACACAGGAGGGUGGCUCUUCAUGCAAGGUCAUAAGCUUCAACUGCAGUCCAUCUCCACAAGUCCUGAAAGAUAUAGAUGACGAGAUGAGCUGCAGGGACCAAGAGUCAUCCACAAUGAAGCAUGGUGAUACUUUCCGCAUGAAGAAUGAGUGGGACACUCCGGGGAGACUCAACUUCCCAUUCGAUUUAGGAGCAGACUCUUCAGAUGACUGGGAGUGCAACAUACCUUGGGAAUCCUUUCUUAGCCCAACAGUCCCUGCUGAGAUCACACAGUAUUAG